Transfer RNA from Natronomonas moolapensis 8.8.11, 74 nucleotides. It matches the Rfam family "tRNA". From Rfam's summary of the family: Transfer RNA (tRNA) molecules are approximately 80 nucleotides in length. Their secondary structure includes four short double-helical elements and three loops (D, anti-codon, and T loops). Lineage: Archaea; Methanobacteriati; Methanobacteriota; Halobacteria; Halobacteriales; Natronomonadaceae. The record is from Rfam.
GGGCCGAUAGCUCAGUCAGGGAGAGCAUCUGGCUCUUAACCAGACGGUCGGGGGUUCAAAUCCCCCUCGGCCCG